This is a small nuclear RNA of Trifolium pratense (red clover), 161 nucleotides long. RefSeq annotates it as U1 spliceosomal RNA. The record is from RefSeq and is a predicted model, not a curated record. The transcript has a single exon. Lineage: Eukaryota; Viridiplantae; Streptophyta; Magnoliopsida; Fabales; Fabaceae.
AUGCUUACCUGGAUGGGGUCAAUGGAUGAUCAUGAAAGGUUCAUGACCUAGGAUUGUGACCUCCAUUGCACUUAGGAGGGUUGCUUUCGUAAGAUCUACCCAAGUGAUGGAGUCUACAUCAUAAUUUGUUACCGUGGAGGCUGCGUUCGCGCGGCCCCCUC